UACGUAGGUGGCGAGCGUUAUCCGGAAUGAUUGGGCGUAAAGGGUGCGUAGGCGGCCUUUUAAGUCAGCGGUGAAAGUCUGUGGCUCAACCAUAGAAUUGCCGUUGAAACUGGGGGGCUUGAGUAUGUUUGAGGCAGGCGGAAUGCGUGGUGUAGCGGUGAAAUGCGUAGAUAUUAGGAGGAACACCAGUGGCGAAGGCGACUUUCUGGACAGAAACUGACGUUGAGGCACGAAAGUGUGGGGAGCAAACAGG
This 253-nucleotide ribosomal RNA is filed under the name uncultured bacterium. RNAcentral describes it as "partial 16S ribosomal RNA". It matches the Rfam family "Bacterial small subunit ribosomal RNA", at positions 524 to 776 of the family's 1533-position model. The record is from RNAcentral.